RNAcentral lists this transfer RNA (87 nucleotides) under Micromonospora carbonacea subsp. aurantiaca. Its description in RNAcentral is "tRNA-OTHER". The record is from RNAcentral. Lineage: Bacteria; Bacillati; Actinomycetota; Actinomycetes; Micromonosporales; Micromonosporaceae.
CUGGCCACUUGGCCGCAGCGGAGGAGUUUCAUCCGCUUCUGGUUACUUUUAAUCCUUAGGUUCUGGGUUCGAGUCCCAGGCGGCCCA